UACGUAGGGCGCAAGCGUUAUCCGGAAUUAUUGGGCGUAAAGAGCUCGUAGGCGGUUUGUCGCGUCUGCCGUGAAAGUCCGGGGCUCAACUCCGGAUCUGCGGUGGGUACGGGCAGACUAGAGUGAUGUAGGGGAGACUGGAAUUCCUGGUGUAGCGGUGAAAUGCGCAGAUAUCAGGAGGAACACCGAUGGCGAAGGCAGGUCUCUGGGCAUUAACUGACGCUCAGGCACGAAAGCGUGGGGAGCAAACAGG
RNAcentral lists this ribosomal RNA (253 nucleotides) under uncultured bacterium. RNAcentral's name for it is "partial 16S ribosomal RNA". It matches the Rfam family "Bacterial small subunit ribosomal RNA", at positions 524 to 776 of the family's 1533-position model. The record is from RNAcentral.